RNAcentral lists this antisense RNA (78 nucleotides) under Amycolatopsis rubida. RNAcentral describes it as "ASpks TB sRNA". It matches the Rfam family "ASpks TB sRNA". The record is from RNAcentral. Lineage: Bacteria; Bacillati; Actinomycetota; Actinomycetes; Pseudonocardiales; Pseudonocardiaceae. RNAcentral also lists the same sequence under 1 other name.
CUUGAGCGAGCCCAGCCACAGCGGCUCUCCGGCCGCGUCGGAGCGCUGACCGUAGGUCGCCAGCAGGGCCUGCGCUUC